Molecule: small nuclear RNA, 100 nt
Filed under: Jaculus jaculus (lesser Egyptian jerboa)
Lineage: Eukaryota; Metazoa; Chordata; Mammalia; Rodentia; Dipodidae
Source: RNAcentral
UCGCUUCAGCAGCACAUACACUAAAAUUAGAACAAUACAGAGAUUAGCAUGGCCCCUGUGCAAGGAUGACGUGCAAAUUCGUGAAGAGUUUCAUAUUCUA